Molecule: ribosomal RNA, 918 nt
Filed under: uncultured Bacteroidota bacterium
Lineage: Bacteria; Pseudomonadati; Bacteroidota
Description: bacterial SSU rRNA
Rfam family: Bacterial small subunit ribosomal RNA
Source: RNAcentral
CCGCGGGAUUAGAGUUUGAUCCUGGCUCAGGAUGAACGCUAGCGGCAGGCUUAAUACAUGCAAGUCGUGGGGCAGCGCGGGUAGCAAUACCUGGCGGCGACCGGCAAACGGGUGAGGAACAUGUACGCAACCUUCCUUUAACUGGAGAAUAGCCCCUCGAAAGAGGGAUUAAUACUCCGUAACAUAUUGAUAAGGCAUCUUAUUAAUAUUAUAGCUCCGGCGGUUAAAGAUGGACGUGCACCUGAUUAGAUAGUUGGCGGGGUAAUGGCCCACCAAGUCUGCGAUCAGUAACUGGUGUGAGAGCACGACCAGUCACACGGGCACUGAGACACGGGUCCGACUCCUACGGGAGGCAGCGGUAAGGAAUAUUGGUCAAUGGACGCAAGUCUGAACCAGCCAUGCCGCGUGGAGGAUUAAGGCCCUCUGGGUUGUAAACUCCUUUUAUCUGGGAAGAAAUGUACUUUUUCUUGAGUACUUGACGGUACCAGAGGAAUAAGCACCGGCUAACUCCGUGCCAGCAGCCGCGGUAAUACGGAGGGUGCAAGCGUUAUCCGGAUUCACUGGGUUUAAAGGGUGCGUAGGCGGGCAGGUAAGUCAGUGGUGAAAUCUCCGAGCUUAACUCGGAAACUGCCGUUGAUACUAUUUGUCUUGAAUAUUGUGGAGGUAAGCGGAAUAUGUCAUGUAGCGGUGAAAUGCUUAGAUAUGACAUAGAACACCAAUUGCGAAGGCAGCUUACUACACAAUUAUUGACGCUGAGGCACGAAAGCGUGGGGAUCAAACAGGAUUAGAUACCCUGGUAGUCCACGCCCUANACGAUGAUUACUCGACGUGUGCGAUACACUGUACGCGUCUGAGCGAAAGCAUUAAGUAAUCCACCUGGGAAGUACGUUCGCAAGAAUGAAACUCAAAGGAAUUGAC